This 384-nucleotide ribosomal RNA is filed under the name Actinomycetota bacterium. RNAcentral's name for it is "bacterial SSU rRNA". It matches the Rfam family "Bacterial small subunit ribosomal RNA", at positions 1 to 386 of the family's 1533-position model. Lineage: Bacteria; Bacillati; Actinomycetota. The record is from RNAcentral.
UCAAUGGAGAGUUUGAUCCUGGCUCAGGAUGAACGCUGGCGGCGUGCUUAACACAUGCAAGUCGAGCGGUAAGGCCCCUUCGGGGGUACACGAGCGGCGAACGGGUGAGUAACACGUGGGGAACCUGCCCUCUUCUCUGGGAUAACUCCGGGAAACCGGAGCUAAUACCGGAUACUCCGGUCGGAUCGCAUGAUCUGAUCGGGAAAGCUCCGGCGGAAGAGGAUGGCCCCGCGGCCCAUUAGCUUGUUGGUGGGGUAAUGGCCCACCAAGGCGACGAUGGGUAGCCGAGCUGAGAGGCUGACCGGCCACACUGGGACUGAGACACGGCCCAGACUCCUACGGGAGGCAGCAGUGGGGAAUUUUGCGCAAUGGGCGAAAGCCUGA